This 706-nucleotide long non-coding RNA is filed under the name Daucus carota (carrot). RNAcentral's name for it is "long non-coding RNA (DCAR_LNC001270)". Lineage: Eukaryota; Viridiplantae; Streptophyta; Magnoliopsida; Apiales; Apiaceae. The record is from RNAcentral.
UCUUCUGCCAACAUCUCUUCUCGCUCUCUCUUUCUAUUUUUCCUUCCUCUGCUCUUUUCUCCUCCUUUCUCCCUAUCUCAUCCAAAAAUCGAUCUGAUGAUUGUUCAUCGCGAAAUCUGAGGCAUACUCAGAGUGAGUUCAAUCAUUAUGGUGUUCUUGAUGAUGGUUGGAUCGGUCAUUAUAAUGGCGGUGUUGAUUGGACUGAUGAUUGCUCCCACUAGCGAUACCUUUUCUAAACCCCACAUCGACUCUGUUCACCGCACUUUUCUUUUGUGUUUUUGAGGUUUGGUUGGUGUUGGUUGAUUCUAGUUAUAAUACUGGUUGGUUUUGAUUUUGACCCCGCAGGGACACUCAUUUUUCUUUUUGUUGCAACUGAUUGCAACUUGUUAUGCAACUUAAUAUAAUUUUCGAUAAAUUUUUUCAAAUUUGCAUUUGUCAUUGCAUAUAUGGUUGCUACCUGCUCUCUCUUCUGCCAACAUCUCUUCUCGCUCUCUCUUUCUAUUUUUCCUUCCUCUGCUCUUUUCUCCUCCUUUCUCCCUAUCUCAUCCAAAAAUCGAUCUGAUGAUUGUUCAUCGCGAAAUCUGAGGCAUACUCAGAGUGAGUUCAAUCAUUAUGGUGUUCUUGAUGAUGGUUGGAUCGGUCAUUAUAAUGGCGGUGUUGAUUGGACUGAUGAUUGCUCCCACUAGCGAUACCUUUUCUAAACCCC